Molecule: ribosomal RNA, 445 nt
Filed under: uncultured bacterium
Lineage: Bacteria
Description: bacterial SSU rRNA
Rfam family: Bacterial small subunit ribosomal RNA
Source: RNAcentral
GUAGGGAAUAUUGGGCAAUGGAUGCAAGUCUGACCCAGCCAUCCCGCGUGCCGGAAGAAGGCCCUCAGGGUUGUAAACGGCUUUUGACGGUGAAGAACCGACAGGAUGCGUCCUGUUUUGACGGUAGCCGUUGAAUAAGCACCGGCUAACUCCGUGCCAGCAGCCGCGGUAAUACGGAGGGUGCGAGCGUUGUCCGGAUUUAUUGGGUUUAAAGGGUGCGUAGGCUGGAAGGUCAGUCAGCGGUGAAAAGCUAUCGCUUAACGAUAGUCUUGGCGCAGAUACUUCCUUUCUUGGAUGAGGUGGAGGCCACUGGAACGGAUGGUGUAGCGGUGAAAUGCAUAGAUAUCAUCCAGAACACCGAUUGCGAAGGCAGGUGGCUGUACCUUAAUCGACGCUGAUGCACGAAAGCAUGGGGAGCAAACAGGAUUAGAAACCCGAGUAGUCC